RNAcentral lists this transfer RNA (87 nucleotides) under Chryseobacterium gallinarum. RNAcentral describes it as "tRNA-Leu". It matches the Rfam family "tRNA". From Rfam's summary of the family: Transfer RNA (tRNA) molecules are approximately 80 nucleotides in length. RNAcentral also lists the same sequence under 2 other names. The record is from RNAcentral. Lineage: Bacteria; Pseudomonadati; Bacteroidota; Flavobacteriia; Flavobacteriales; Weeksellaceae.
GCCCUGGUGGUGGAACUGGUAGACACGCAGGACUUAAAAUCCUGUACCUCUUUUGGUGUGCGGGUUCAAGUCCCGCCUGGGGUACAA